Molecule: ribosomal RNA, 389 nt
Filed under: Chironax melanocephalus
Lineage: Eukaryota; Metazoa; Chordata; Mammalia; Chiroptera; Pteropodidae
Description: partial 12S ribosomal RNA
Rfam family: Bacterial small subunit ribosomal RNA
Source: RNAcentral
GCUUAGCCCUAAACCUAAGUAGUAGCACUAACAAUACUACUCGCCAGAGAACUACUAGCAACAGCUUAAAACUCAAAGGACUUGGCGGUGCUUUAUAUCCAUCUAGAGGAGCCUGUUCUAUAAUCGAUGAACCCCGAUAAACCUCACCAACCCUUGCUAAUUCAGCCUAUAUACCGCCAUCUUCAGCGAACCCUAAAAAGGAAACAUAGUAAGCAAGACCAUAGGACAUAAAAACGUUAGGUCAAGGUGUAGCCCAUGGGUUGGGAAGAAAUGGGCUACAUUUUCUAACAAUAGAACACUUACGAAAAUUUUCGUGAAAUCGAAAAUGGAAGGAGGAUUUAGUAGUAAAUUAAGAAUAGAGAGCUUAAUUGAAUAAGGCCAUGAAGCAC